RNAcentral lists this ribosomal RNA (1430 nucleotides) under Curtobacterium sp. Enf7. Its description in RNAcentral is "16S ribosomal RNA". It matches the Rfam family "Bacterial small subunit ribosomal RNA". The record is from RNAcentral. Lineage: Bacteria; Bacillati; Actinomycetota; Actinomycetes; Micrococcales; Microbacteriaceae.
CGCUGGCGGCGUGCUUACACAUGCAAGUCGAACGAUGAUGCCCAGCUUGCUGGGUGGAUUAGUGGCGAACGGGUGAGUAACACGUGAGUAACCUGCCCCUGACUCUGGGAUAAGCGUUGGAAACGACGUCUAAUACUGGAUAUGACUACUGGCCGCAUGGUCUGGUGGUGGAAAGAUUUUUUGGUUGGGGAUGGACUCGCGGCCUAUCAGCUUGUUGGUGAGGUAAUGGCUCACCAAGGCGACGACGGGUAGCCGGCCUGAGAGGGUGACCGGCCACACUGGGACUGAGACACGGCCCAGACUCCUACGGGAGGCAGCAGUGGGGAAUAUUGCACAAUGGGCGAAAGCCUGAUGCAGCAACGCCGCGUGAGGGAUGACGGCCUUCGGGUUGUAAACCUCUUUUAGUAGGGAAGAAGGGAGCCGCAAGGCUUUUGACGGUACCUGCAGAAAAAGCACCGGCUAACUACGUGCCAGCAGCCGCGGUAAUACGUAGGGUGCAAGCGUUGUCCGGAAUUAUUGGGCGUAAAGAGCUCGUAGGCGGUUUGUCGCGUCUGCUGUGAAAUCCCGAGGCUCAACCUCGGGCUUGCAGUGGGUACGGGCAGACUAGAGUGCGGUAGGGGAGAUUGGAAUUCCUGGUGUAGCGGUGGAAUGCGCAGAUAUCAGGAGGAACACCGAUGGCGAAGGCAGAUCUCUGGGCCGUAACUGACGCUGAGGAGCGAAAGCAUGGGGAGCGAACAGGAUUAGAUACCCUGGUAGUCCAUGCCGUAAACGUUGGGCGCUAGAUGUAGGGACCUUUCCACGGUUUCUGUGUCGUAGCUAACGCAUUAAGCGCCCCGCCUGGGGAGUACGGCCGCAAGGCUAAAACUCAAAGGAAUUGACGGGGGCCCGCACAAGCGGCGGAGCAUGCGGAUUAAUUCGAUGCAACGCGAAGAACCUUACCAAGGCUUGACAUACACCGGAAACGGCCAGAGAUGGUCGCCCCCUUGUGGUCGGUGUACAGGUGGUGCAUGGUUGUCGUCAGCUCGUGUCGUGAGAUGUUGGGUUAAGUCCCGCAACGAGCGCAACCCUCGUUCUAUGUUGCCAGCGCGUUAUGGCGGGGACUCAUAGGAGACUGCCGGGGUCAACUCGGAGGAAGGUGGGGAUGACGUCAAAUCAUCAUGCCCCUUAUGUCUUGGGCUUCACGCAUGCUACAAUGGCCGGUACAAAGGGCUGCGAUACCGUAAGGUGGAGCGAAUCCCAAAAAGCCGGUCUCAGUUCGGAUUGAGGUCUGCAACUCGACCUCAUGAAGUCGGAGUCGCUAGUAAUCGCAGAUCAGCAACGCUGCGGUGAAUACGUUCCCGGGCCUUGUACACACCGCCCGUCAAGUCAUGAAAGUCGGUAACACCCGAAGCCGGUGGCCUAACCCUUGUGGGAGGAGCCGUCGAAGGUGG